UGGCGGCGUGCUUAACACAUGCAAGUCGAACGGUGAAAGAGAGCUUGCUCUCUGGAUCAGUGGCGAACGGGUGAGUAACACGUGAGCAAUCUGCCCCUGACUCUGGGAUAACAGCUGGAAACAGCUGCUAAUACCGGAUACGAGCUGCGAAGGCAUCUUCAGCAGCUGGAAAGAAUUUCGGUCAGGGAUGAGCUCGCGGCCUAUCAGCUUGUUGGUGAGGUAAUGGCUCACCAAGGCGUCGACGGGUAGCCGGCCUGAGAGGGUGACCGGCCACACUGGGACUGAGACACGGCCCAGACUCCUACGGGAGGCAGCAGUGGGGAAUAUUGCACAAUGGGCGAAAGCCUGAUGCAGCAACGCCGCGUGAGGGACGACGGCCUUCGGGUUGUAAACCUCUUUUAGCAAGGAAGAAGCGAAAGUGACGGUACUUGCAGAAAAAGCGCCGGCUAACUACGUGCCAGCAGCCGCGG
Molecule: ribosomal RNA, 470 nt
Filed under: Micrococcus sp. SM2
Lineage: Bacteria; Bacillati; Actinomycetota; Actinomycetes; Micrococcales; Micrococcaceae
Description: bacterial SSU rRNA
Rfam family: Bacterial small subunit ribosomal RNA
Source: RNAcentral